Molecule: long non-coding RNA, 1659 nt
Organism: Archocentrus centrarchus (flier cichlid)
Lineage: Eukaryota; Metazoa; Chordata; Actinopteri; Cichliformes; Cichlidae
Exons: 3
Source: RefSeq, a predicted model, not a curated record
UCCAACAGUGAGUGUCAGUAGCUGUCUGAAACACGGUGGAGGCUCUGUCAUGGUUUGGGCUGCAUCUCAGCCAGUGGUGUUUAUGAACACAGAAAAGUACCAUCAGAUUUUGAUCCAUCAUGCAGUACUAUCUGGAAAGGUUCUGAUUGACAGCAGCUUCAUUGUAUAGAAUGAAAAUGAUCCCAAACACACUGCCAGUGCAGUAAAAGCAUCCCUGGAUAGAAAAACACACAGUGGAAACUAUCAGUCAUGGACUGGCCUCCCCCGAGCCAGGACCUCAGCUUUACUGAAACAGUGUGAGAUCAUCGUCAGAGAGAACAGAACAAAAGGCUGAAACUGCUUAAAGCAAUGACAGAAAGCUGCCUCAGAGUUCAAGCUGUGCUGAAGGAUAAAGGAGGUCACACCAAAUACUGACUUUCAAGGUAUAAACCUCCUCCUAAUGAGGUGUACACAGAGUCCAGUCUGACAGUGAUGAAGAUCCAGCUGCCGACAGGUGUGGCUGCAUACCUGGAAGACCUGAAACAGUUCACGGACCCCAUGCAGCCGAUCAUCUCCCACUACGAGCUCCAGGGAAACACUGUGGUCAUUCAGAUGGACUCUGUGACUCUGCCUCAUCUAAUAUCAUGUAUAAAAAUAUAUCAAUAUUUCUUAAAAACUCAAUAUAUCGCCCAGCCCUAAACUGAGGUAGACUUUGUGUUAUUCAAAAUACUGCAGUUUAGUGCAGGAUAAACAGGUUACUGCGCUGUACUGUGGUGAAUGUGGUGAACAGUAAAGAUCCGUGUUGGUGGGCAACAGCUGUGGUGUUCAUGGUCAGAGUUACAGGUUACAUCAAGUGUUACAUUUUGUUGAAUUCAGUCAUGUAAACAGAGCAGCAGCUGAUCACAGCCUGACACAAAGAAAAUCUAGUGGCGCUCACAAUAGAAAUUAUUGUGCGUUUUAAUUCUUUACCCCAAUCUGAGCCACUGCAACUGAUCUUAAGGUCCCUCCACCUGCUGAAUCCCACUGUAACCCCUGACUGUACUCAUUUUCCUGUUCAGGUGAGGCAGAGUCACCCUCUACAAUGUAGGUAUCAGCAAAUAGAACUUUUUAAAAGUUCUCUUUUUUUUUCUCUGCUCAUGUUCUAUAUAACAGUGUUCUGGUUAAAUACAUUCAUUAGAAUUAGAACUUAGAAUGAAAUAAAGUUUGUAUUCUCAUGUAGUAAUCUUGUUUUGUUAUUACAGUAAUAUGGCACAAGGUUCAGUUUGCUUUCCACAAAAAUAGCUGGCAGAAAUGUCUUCCGAAGAGCUACUUUUACUUUCUUACUUUGAGUACAUUUUAGAGCCUGUACUUUUUUCACUUUUACUUGAGUAAAGAGUUUAAAUCAGUACUUCAACUUUUACUAGAGUAUUUUUUAAUACACAUAUCUGUACUGCUACUUAAGUACAGAAUGUGUGUACUUUUGCCACCCCUGCAUAUUUGCGUCUAACCUUUUGAACCUUUUUGAAGAAUUUUGGUAACAUGACCAAAAGUUGUGUCAUAACGCAAAGUUUGUUCAUGAUAGAAGGACAAUUCCAGAUCUAAUGAUCCGGAAUGCUGGAAACUAUAGGGUAAAAAAAAAAUUCACUCCUGUAGUAAGAAAUAAAUCAGUGACAACUAACACCAAAAUAUAGCUUAACAUGA